AAGGUCCUAGCUUAAUUAAAGCACCUGGGUUGCAUUCAGGAGAUGUGGGGUAAUAGCCUGCGGAUCUUA
This 69-nucleotide transfer RNA is filed under the name Pericrocotus divaricatus divaricatus. RNAcentral describes it as "tRNA-Ala". It matches the Rfam family "tRNA". From Rfam's summary of the family: Transfer RNA (tRNA) molecules are approximately 80 nucleotides in length. Their secondary structure includes four short double-helical elements and three loops (D, anti-codon, and T loops). The record is from RNAcentral. Lineage: Eukaryota; Metazoa; Chordata; Aves; Passeriformes; Campephagidae.